UGUUCUCGAACUCUCGAAGCCAGCAGC
This 27-nucleotide non-coding RNA is filed under the name Homo sapiens (human). Lineage: Eukaryota; Metazoa; Chordata; Mammalia; Primates; Hominidae. The record is from RNAcentral.